GAAAUUUGGAUUAAUACCGCAUAGUAUACAGAUUCAGCAUUGGGACUGUAUUAAACAUUUAUGGGUAAGAGAUGGGCAUGCGUUCUAUUAGUUAGUUGGAGUGGUAACGGNACCCCAAGACAGCGAUAGAUAGGGGCCCUGANAGGGGGAUCCCCCACACUGGUACUGAGACACGGACCAGACUCCUACGGGAGGCAGCAGUGAGGAAUAUUGGACCAAUGGGCGAGAGCCUGAUCCAGCCAUGCCGCGUGCAGGAAGACGGCCCUAUGGGUUGUAAACUGCUUUGUACGGGAAGAAACACCCCCUCGUGAGGGGGCUUGACGGUACCGUAAGAAUAAGGAUCGGCUAACUCCGUG
This 356-nucleotide ribosomal RNA is filed under the name uncultured bacterium. RNAcentral describes it as "bacterial SSU rRNA". It matches the Rfam family "Bacterial small subunit ribosomal RNA", at positions 153 to 507 of the family's 1533-position model. The record is from RNAcentral.